UACGUAGGGUGCAAGCGUUCAUCGGAAUUACUGGGCGUAAAGCGUGCGCAGGCGGUUGUGCAAGACAGAUGUGAAAUCCCCGGGCUUAACCUGGGAACUGCAUUUGUGACUGUACGGCUAGAGUGUGUCAGAGGGGGGUAGAAUUCCACGUGUAGCAGUGAAAUGCGUAGAUAUGUGGAGGAAUACCGAUGGCGAAGGCAGCCCCCUGGGAUAACACUGACGCUCAUGCACGAAAGCGUGGGGAGCAAACAGG
Molecule: ribosomal RNA, 253 nt
Filed under: uncultured bacterium
Lineage: Bacteria
Description: partial 16S ribosomal RNA
Rfam family: Bacterial small subunit ribosomal RNA
Source: RNAcentral